GGGAGGCAAGGUGGUGGAUGGGGCUGGCUGGCUGAUGGGGGGAGGACACUGUGAUGAGAUGACUGAGAAGAGAAGGGAGGAUAAAUAUUUAAUGUGUUGAGCAGCUGGAGGGGUAAGGAGUGGUGGAGGAGAGGAGGAGAGGAGUGAGGUGCACUGCAAUACUCAUUUGAAGCCAAGCCUCCCCUUCAUAUUCCUCUCUCUUAUACACAGCUAGGGGUGGGUUGAUGGUGAAGCCAUAUUCUAUCUACUGUUUGAUUCUGUUUGAGAAAGGUUAUGGUACAACAACAGAUCUGAUGAUGAACAGUUUUAAAUGACAGCACAAUAAUCUGUACACACGUCAUUUUACACCCUUGCUUCGACAAUUUCUACUGCCCUCUUCUGACUCUCCCCCUUUUCUCUUCCCCUCCCUUUAUAUACAAAUUGAGCCACCUGUUUAUCUCUGACAUGGGUCAUAUGACCACUCUUUGUAGUCUUUUGUGUGUGUGCAUGCGUGCGUGUGUGCGUGCGUGCGUGCGUGUGCGCGUGUGUGUGUUCGCGCUAACAGUCCUCUGAAAGAGAACGUGGCUUUUUAAUUUAAUUGCUGACGGAUAUUUUUUUAAGUGACUUUGUAGGAGAGGGAGAAUUUAAACUGAGGAUUCUGAGGAUGAGGGAGUCUCUUGUAAAAUGCACUUGUGAAAUGAUGAGUUCAGCUUGUAUGCAUUGUGACUCAGUUCUCCUGUCUUUCGGGUACAGGGACAGAUACGUUUGAGGUUUACUGUGUCACCGCCCAGCCAAGAGUAUAGAGCCAUCCCUGUCAGGGAGGUGGCCACCUGGUCAACGAAAUGAAUGAAAUUGUUCUCUGAAUCCUAUUGUCACCCUUUUGAACCCAUCUCUCCAUUUCUCUUACCAAGCCUCGUCUUUGACUGGACACACAGAGCAGUUAUAUAUUGAUGGACAAGGAAAAGAGAAAAUGAAACUACUGUAAAGAUGAUCUCCUUCUUUUUUUUUUUGGAUUAACUUUGAACUGUAAAAUAACUUUUCAACUUUCACAAUAUUUAAUUAAAGUUCCCUCUUGUCUGUGAAA
Oncorhynchus tshawytscha (Chinook salmon) is the source of this 1063-nucleotide long non-coding RNA. Lineage: Eukaryota; Metazoa; Chordata; Actinopteri; Salmoniformes; Salmonidae. The record is from Ensembl.